Molecule: ribosomal RNA, 400 nt
Filed under: uncultured bacterium
Lineage: Bacteria
Description: bacterial SSU rRNA
Rfam family: Bacterial small subunit ribosomal RNA
Source: RNAcentral
UAAGGAAUAUUGGUCAAUGGGCGGAAGCCUGAACCAGCCAUGCCGCGUGCAGGAAGACGGCCUUAUGGGUUGUAAACUGCUUUUGUCAGGGAAUAAACCCUCGUUCGUGAACGAGGCUGAAGGUACCUGAAGAAUAAGCAUCGGCUAACUCCGUGCCAGCAGCCGCGGUAAUACGGAGGAUGCGAGCGUUAUCCGGAUUCAUUGGGUUUAAAGGGUGCGCAGGCGGGCGUAUAAGUCAGGGGUGAAAUGCCACGGCUCAACCGCGGAACUGCCUUUGAUACUGUAUGUCUUGAGUUUAGUUGAAGUGGGCGGAAUGUAGCAUGUAGCGGUGAAAUGCAUAGAGAUGCUACAGAACACCGAUAGCGAAGGCAGCUCACUAAGUAAACUAGACGCUCAUGCA